AAGGGAGACCUAAUUCCGGUAGGAGACGAAAAAAAAGUAGUCCCAACCAAGAAUCAACCCCAAAAGGUCGGAACGAGGUAUGAGGCUUUCAAACUAGGUUCUGGGUUCAUAAAAGACCUGAAUCAGGAACAAGGGCUAUUAGCUCAGGUGGUUAGAGCGCACCCCUGAUAAGGGUGAGGUCCCUGGUUCGAGUCCAGGAUGGCCCACCUGCACAGGUGGCAAAAACAAGAGAAGCUCCGAAUCAGCACCUUAUCUUAUAUACAUAUAUAAGAGAGAAUGCUGGCUCUGAGUACAGAGUCCAGAGGAACCUUGAAAACUGCAUAGAGCUAGGUGAAAAAGCCAAAAAAGAAGACCGCAA
RNAcentral lists this transfer RNA (358 nucleotides) under uncultured Microcystis sp. RNAcentral's name for it is "partial 16S-23S ribosomal RNA intergenic spacer". The stretch from base 133 to 206 matches the Rfam family "tRNA". The record is from RNAcentral. Lineage: Bacteria; Bacillati; Cyanobacteriota; Cyanophyceae; Chroococcales; Microcystaceae.